GGCUGCCCCCUCUGGUCCUGUCCGAUCUUAGAAACUAAGCAGAGAUGGGCUGAUAUUACUUGGAUUAGAGGUCACCUAGAAAUACCAGGCAUUGUAGUCU
This 100-nucleotide ribosomal RNA is filed under the name Salvator merianae (Argentine black and white tegu). The record is from RNAcentral. Lineage: Eukaryota; Metazoa; Chordata; Lepidosauria; Squamata; Teiidae.